This is a non-coding RNA of Castor canadensis (American beaver), 12551 nucleotides long. NCBI's taxonomy places the organism in Eukaryota, Metazoa, Chordata, Mammalia, Rodentia, Castoridae. The record is from RefSeq and is a predicted model, not a curated record.
AAAGCAAAAGAGAAAACAGUAAGUCUGUGGGUGGAAAAGGAGAUGACCUGAGAGGUACAAUGUUCCAUGAAGUGCCAGGAGGACACAAAGCCUGAGAGAGAAAUGAAUGAGGAUGAAGUAAUCUGGAAGGCUUCUUGGAGGGGAUGGCCUUUACUCUAGGUCUUGAAAGGUGGAAAUGAGGACAUAUGACAAGCAAUGAGGACAGCUCAUAGACACUUCAAGGUUGAAGGUAAUCCCCACUUCCCUAGCCAACCCCACGGCUCAAAGACCAGCUGGAGAGAAUGAAACUUUGCCCAAGGAACACACCCACCAGGCUGUAUAGGGUAAUUCAGGUGGGGUUCCACAGGAGCAAGGCAUGUGCUGUGGACCAGGCACACCACAGGCUCUGCCCUGCGCCUCUGGGUGGUUACAUAACCCCCACUGCUCUGGCUCCACAGCCAGCUGGGACCUUCCACCUCCUCUGCCUCUCCUGUCAUCUGCCAUCUGUCUCUGCAGCUUCCUUCAUAUAGAAGAGGCCGCUGUGCAGCCGAAAACGAAGGCCAGCCCUGUGGUAAAUUCCCCACAUUCCUUCCACACAGAAAAAUAAAUAACCCAGGAGGAAAAGCGCAGGAGGAAUGAUGAUGACGGCCCAAACACGCUGGAGUGCAGGCUCACAUGCUGGGAUAAACAGCAUGGGCCAGGAGCCCUUCCCGGGACGACACACCUAUUAGCUGCUGCUUCUCCCAGGGGGCACAGAGCCAACCUGGAACUCUGGGAGGACAGACCUGCUCACAUCUGCCAAAGAAGGUGCUAGAAUCUCUCAGUGGUGGCUGUGGGUAGUGGUCACCAUGGUGAACUUGCCAGGGGCGGGGCACACUUGUUUUCACUGCUCAAGGGGCUACUUAUUCGGCACAUCAAUGUGCAAUGAGCUCCUCCUGGAAGUAUUAUCAUUUUUGUGUUUUAUUUUAUCUACACAAGCUGGGAGGAUAAGGAAGGUCCCUUAUCUCCACUUUACAGAUGAGGAAACUGAGGCUCAGAAAGGGGAUUCGCCAAGGUAUUGGCCAGUGAGUGAACUGCAGGUUCCAGGGCCUGCCCCCCACUCCCAUAUCCAUUCAGCUUGCUCUUCCCCCAGGCAGCCUUCCUUCACCAAACCCACCCUAAGGUGCAGCCUGUUCGCCUCCUGUCCACUGCUCAGCAGGGCACCCCAUUCAGUCACAUUUAGUAAAUCGCUUCCCUUUUCUGAGUUUCAGCUUCCUCACUAGUAAAACCAGGAUGUAAAACACAGCUGAGCAAAUAAGAUGCAGAACAGUAUCAAGCAAAAAACACUGCACAUACCUGAAGGGGGUUUUAUCUUUGGCCCAUUGACAUCUCUGUGUGACUUAAAAGGCUGGGCUCUAACUGUUUCUCUCCAUCUCUCCCUCUGUUCACCAGUCCCCUCUGGGCCUCACACUUCUGCCCACAGUCAAACACAGUCCAACCCCAAUCCCAACCCCACUGCCACAGCACCCCUACCUCUAGCCACUGUGCUGCAGCAGAGAAUGGAUUUGAAUCCUACGCCCCCUAACUGAAGAUCCAAGGCUUCUAGGACGGAAAGCAACCCAUGCUGGCUGUGCAGCCAGAAGGGCACCACGGCUGUGGGGUCCUGGAGGCUCUGACCCCGCUGUGUCUCCCAGACUGCCAUACAGCAAUUAUCUGGCACGGCUGGUCCCCUCCAGCAGGAGAAGUCUCCUGCCAGAAGAGAGGCUGAGUCAUCCAGUCCUGCCCUCCCUGUUUCCCUCAAACCACUAAAGAAGCCUGGAGGUCAGGAAAUUUGGCUCCAGUAUCUGACCUGUCACAAUUUGAAUAGCAUUAGGCUAUUCUCUGAACCUCUUUGGGCCUCAGUUUACCCAUCUGUUCAACGAGGGGAUUGGAUUGACCAAUGGGUCCCAGAGUAUGGUGCUCUCCCGCCUCUAGUGAAAGCAAAAGGAUUUCAGGUGGCACCCUAAUAUUUAACAUCUUAAAAAGUUACAUAACUUUCAAAUGUGAAACCUGUGAUCUGGAGGAUAUUACUGCUUAGGGAGAGGCUAGAGUGGAUAUUUCAGUAACAAAAUGAGACAAUUUAAAGAAAAUAAGUAUAAAUGGUACAUGGAGUCAUUCAUUUAGCCAAUAUUCAUUGCACACCAAUUAAGGGCCAGGCACUGUUCACAGCCAUGAAGAAAAGAAGACGAAAACCUCUUUUUUGCAUGCUAAUAGGAAGCAAAAGGAAUAAACAUACAUAUAAAUCAGAGAGUAAAUGUUAUGGAGAAAAAUUAAACAGGCACAGGAGAUAUGAAAUACAUGGGGCAGGGAGUGGUUUGGUAAGGUAAAUAUGGUAACCAAAAUUGUCUGCAGUGAGAAGGCAUAUCUGAGUGAAGAAAUGAAGAAGAUGAGGGAGUGAGGCAUAGGACUGUGUAAGGAAGAGUGGCCUGGCAAAGGAGCAGCUAGUACUAAGGUCCUGUACUUAUCAGGUUUGAGGAUUCUUUCUCUCUCUCUCUCUCUCUCUCUCUCUCUCUCUCUCUCUCUCUCUCUCUCUCUCACACACACACACACACACACACACACACGAUGCUGGAGAGACCCCAGCUGGUAGCAGCACAUCCUCCUCUGCACACAUACCCACGCACAGAAGCACUGCCUGCUUCAAACCUGUGUAACACAUGACAGGCCAUGCCCAGGCACGCAUGCACUCCAUAGAGAGCUCGGGAGAGUAUGUGACAUGGAGCAUCUGCAGGUGUCCAUAUGAUGCUCAUGUGACAGGCUGGCAUGUAUGUACCUGCAUCAGAUACACCUUGUGGGAGGGUGUCUGUCUCAGGUAACUUCGUUAGUAGGUAGCGCUUCAGCUUGAGAGCACCUGUUACCGCAGAAUGGUAAGUGCCCCGAUGGUCUGUUUCAAAUCCAUGUCUCCAGUAUCUCUGUAUUCAUAGUCUCCCUUUUUCAGAGGUACAUUAAAAUCUACCACCUGAUACUCAAGUGUCCCAGGGGAUCAUGUGUGGCGAAUGUCCCAUUUUCCUACAGCAACUAAAUGGCAUACGCCAGGUUAAAAUACCCGGGUCAGCACUGGACAAGCUAGCAGCUUCAAGCAGCAUUGCCAUUCAUCAUCAUCGUCAUUCCAGCUCCAUUCCUUUAGGGUGCUUGGGGAUAGCUGAAGAGUAGGAAAAAAGGACCAGACUGUGAGCAGGAGGCCUGAGUUAAGGCCACAGCCUGGUAUCUAUUCCAUGUGGGACCUCACACAAAUCCCUUCCCCUCUCCUGCCCACAUCAGAAACUUACAGGUGCCCCAGAAUCCUUGAGGGAAUGUGUUCAAUAUGCAAAUUCCUGGGUUCCGCCCUAGAAACCCAUGGGGUCACAAAAUACGCAUAGGCUUCCUUAGGAGGUCUGAGGCACAGACUGGGACCCACUGGCCUUUGCAGCACCUGAUCAUAUACAUAUGUUCAUAGUGAGCACAUAGGAAAGUGUUUGGGAUGUGGUCUGGCAACUAGCAAGGCUCCAUAAUGUUGACAAUACACAUGUAAUAAGAUAAAUUUAUCUGCACAAUUACAUAUAGUAAUUACAAACCAUCCUUGGAAUAUGCACAACACUUUUGUAGUUUUUCUGGCACUUUUCUUUAUCAGAAAUAGAGGUAGAAUGGGAUUUUCAUGCCAUUUUACAGUCUAGAAAAUGGAAGUAGAUAAAUGCCGGAGGACCUGCCCAGGAUCUCACAGCACACAGGUCUUUGGCUGCCAGCCAGAGACCUCGGCCCAGCUUUGUGAGAUGUGCCACCUCAGGACGUGAUCCACUCACCCCCAUAUGAUUCCCAACCCACAGGGUAAGUGACUUUCAUUCUAGGUUCAUGAAAGCUCUUGACACUUAUGACUUCCUCAGCAUCUCAGGAUUAAGAAUAGACAACCUCAAUCAUUUAACUUCCUUCCAGCAUAAGGUUCCCCCCUGCUGCCACUAAGCAGUGCAGGGGAUCCCCAAGGGGCCCUAGUGCUACCUGCUACCAUUUCAUCUAAAAUGGUCAUUUGAUCUAGCCAAUCAGAAUUUAAUCUGGUCAUGAGCUAUUGUGACUUUUAGCAAGCCUUGUAUCUGCUGAAUCUCAUUUCCUCCUCUGUAAGAGUCUCCCGAUUCCUACCCUGCUGGUUUGUUGCACUGAUCAGCUCACACAUGCAAGGGAGACAGCAUCGGGUGCUGAUGGGGCACCAUGACUCUCUGGUAAUGUGUGAGCUUUGGGAAGGGAAGAACCUUGCUUCACAUGUGUUCAACAGAUAUGUCCUGAAUGAAGGAAAAAAUGAAAUGAUUUCACCAAAGCAACUUUCUCCUGCCAGGAUGGCAGGGCCAGCGGGAUGGGCUAUGAAUACGGGGAACUUGCUCUCUGCUCUGCACAUAGUAGACGUGCUUGCCAUGGCAGUGAGGAAGGCCACACUAGGAGGGCUAUAUCCCAGAUCCCUGAAUGUAAUCCUGUUGACUCAGAGGCAUAAAUAAUGCACUGGUAGUUCUCUCCUCACCAUACUGUCAUGCUAAGAAUAGCAGUGGCUACUGUUUCAAAGAUUCCAAAAGGAAGCGGACAGGACACCCAAUGGAGAUAAUCAGUAAAGAUGUCAUUGAGCUGUGACCUGUCAGGAACCUCCCUGCAAGCCCACAUUUCCAAACUCCUAAGACAGAGGACCCUGAAUGACAAAGCAGAAAGACUCUUAGAGGCCACCUGGCCAGGAGUUCUCCCGGAGUAAGGUAGAGGCUGGGGAACAUCCGCCUCCCACCGGUCUGUAUUUUCUCCUUCUCUCCUGAUGCCCACGCUAACAAUGCCUGUGCCUCUAACUCGCCCCUCCACACUCCUGGGAUGGGUCCCGCUUAUGUAUUUUACACGGAAAACUUUGGAGCAAGAAGAUUCUAUGGGUCUUAAUUACUUUUUUUUAAGUUUAAAAAUGGCUGACAGUGGACUGUUAGUAGUGUCUUCCUAUGGGAAGGCAGGAACAGGAGGAUCACAGUACAGGCAGGUCAGGGUAAAAUUAGUGAGACUAUCUGAAAAAUAAAGCAAAAAAUGACUGGGGGCAUGGCUUAAGUGUUACAGCACCUGCCUAGUAAGCAAAGACCUGAGUUCAAACCCCACUACCACAAAAAAAUAAAAAGCAGACUUAGAAGAGUGCUUCUCAUACUUUAAAAUAUAUAGGGAUCACUACCCAGGGCAGUGGUUAAAAUGCACAUUCUGAUUCAGGAGGGUGGGGCGGGGCCUGAGAUUUCACAUUUCUAGCAAGUUUCCCAAUGACAAUGGCACUGUAUCCACAGGUCAUACUUUAAGUACAGAAAAACUGGCAUAUUUCCUAUUACUCAGAUGGAGAACACGACGUCCAAAGAAAAGGGAUGUGCCCUUUCCUUAGCUCAGAAUGUAAGUGUGGACUACCAUCCCAUGGCUUUGCCCUCAGAGGGCUUUGAGUGACUGCAGAUAAAACAAGUAAGAUGCAAACACAACGAUGGGCAGAGGAAGAGGUGACCCCCGGUGCUCUGCACACAGUCAUCCAUGAGGAGGCUGGAGUGUGGAGGGCCACUGAUAGCACUAUCAGGAUAGGCAACCAAGGGAGAGAAGAAAGGAAGCACGGCCAGCCUCCUGAUCACUGCCAGUGAUGUUUGUCCUUCCCCGCAAGUGCUGUAAAGUUCUUUGGGUCUCCAGGCUAGCUCUACUCCCCUGGGGUGCCCCACCCUCUUAUACUCCACCACAUUGGCCCACCUUCACAUGCUCAGACAAGGUGUCAAGCACUUUCUCACCUCAGGGCCUUUGCACUGGCUGUUCCUUUUGGUUAGUCUUCCUUCCUUUACCCCCUCAGCUGAGAUUUUCUGACCACACUUCUCAUUCUUUGGAUCUAUUUACAGGUCUCAAGGAGGCUCCUCUGUCCUCAGAGGUCACAUUCCCCAGCCACAGCACCCUCAGCGUCUCCUCCAAACUCAUUAGAUUUGUAAUUCCACCAGUGUUUGUUUUAAUAUCAGGCUGCUCUGUCCUCUCAAGGCAGGGACCUUGGCCAUGACCCUGCCCCCAUGCCUAGACUAUAACUGGGGAUCAACAAAGACUUGUUGACUGAAAGAGAUGCAUAAACGCUGCUCACAUCCCCACUGCAAAACUUCUCCACGGCUCCAUGUGACCUCGUCAAGACCACAGAAGUCGCAAGACUGAGAUUUUCAAGAUUAUUUGGGUCAGGACUCUGUUCUGCAAUUCCCCAGCUGAGCAGCCUUCAAAGGUCACGUCACCUCUCUGAGUGGGGUCUCAGCACUGCUCAUCAGGUCCCAAUGAAAGAAGGAACCUGGGAAAGGCUUUGAAAGCUGCAAAGAGCUUUCACUGAUAUUACCAGUCCAACAAUGCUUGACGCCCAGAGAGGGACAGAGCCUCGCUCAAGGCCACACAGCCAGUGUGUGAUGAUGCCAGACCUCCCGGGCACAGCUUGAAGCCAACAGCUGAGCUUCAGGCCCACCCAAGCUCAAUGAGAGCACCAUCUGCCUAGAGGCUGGGCAAGAGAGGGGGAGGCAGAGAAGAGGGUGGCUGGGGAGCACUCAGACUCAGGCACAGAGCCAGAGUGUGGGGGUGGGGGUGGAGCCCCCAGCAGGGGACUUGAGUGGGGGCUGGCAGCUGGGCACAGGGGAGCCAACUGGCUCAGGCUGGGUGGCAUGCUUGUUCCCCAUGCGCGUGACAGUCUAUUUUUUAAUCAGUCCUCUCUCCUCCCCCAACUCCAUGUGUCCUCCCAAAGGGCCCUAUAUCAGCAGUCUUGUCCUGGUCAGGCCAGGGCCACCUUUGGGAUGGAUGGAAGGGUACUCUAAGUCCCAUCUCUUCAUGGAGCCCCAAGGAUAAACAGCCCAGAAGGCAGGACAGAAGGCUCAGGGAUGAAGGGCUACCCCCUGUCUAUAUGAGCUGGGGCUGGUAUCUAGAAUCUCUGGCCUCAGUUUCCUUUAUCUGUACAAUGAUGGGGGCAUGCUAGACUUUAUGGGAGUAUUACAACUCAGUCACUUGGCAUCCACUCAAGUUCUACAACAUUAACAAUGCUCACUCAUGAGGCCCUGGCAGGGCCUCCCAUGUCCAUGGUGCCCACAGGGCACACUUAAUCCUCCCUGACCUACUCCCAGGGAAGAGGGAAAGGGAAGAAAAGACUCUGAGCUGGUUCAAAUGCUGAUCUCAGAGCCCUAGAUCACAGACUUUGUCAGGUUCCUCCUUCCAAGACCAGAGGGACAGAGAUGGUGAGAAUCAAACAGAAAUAUUGUGUGUUCUUGAGUAAGUGGCUUGGCCUCUCUGAGCCUCUGGCACACCAUCUAAAGCAAAAAAGACUGCUAUGCAGUAGAGAAGUUCACAGUCUUUGGACCCCACUGUCUGGGUUUGCAUCUUGGCACUUAUCUAAAGCUGUGUGACCUUGGGAGCUCACUUAACCAAUCACUUUGUGCCUCAGUUUCCCAUCUAUAAAAUGGGUGAUAAUAACAGGACUUAUCCAAUACAUAUGUUGACAUGUAAAGAACUCAGAACACUCAGGGCACAAAGUAGAAACAAUAAAUUAUCAAGCACUCUAAGUCUUGAAGUCAUUUUAUUCUAGAAGAUUACAUGCAAGGGUCUCAGCUCACUGUUCUAUCCAUGGGCUCAUUUAGUUGCCCCUUCCUCUACCUUUGACACCAUAGGACCAAAUGUUUUGGGGGUCUGUUAGCUCUUUCACAUCCAUGAGCAUCUCAGAUCCUUACUGCCCAUUUCGUAGCAGUUCAGAAUGGAAGCAAAUGAUUUGUCCAAGACCUGAAGCUUAGUCCAGGGCCCUUCCCACUGAGUCUGUCCCCCUCCUUCCACAAUCAAAACCUGCUCCUGACCAAGAACCAAAAAAUAAUUCACACAGAGAUAUGAGGAGUCUUGGGAGAGAAGCCAUCUCCUCAACAGCUUGCUAUUUUAACAAAGCUUGCUAAUAAGUAGUGUUUCAUUUUUUAAGCAUCAAUUCAUUUCAUUUUCGUACAAUACAAGGGUUAUUAUUGCCUCUAUUUUAUAGAUGAGGGGGAAAAAGUCCAGAGAGGUUACAUAAUAUGUGGUAAGAUCUCCCAGCCAGCCAGGAGUAGAGUCAGCCAGGAUCCAACCACAGCAUCUGUGUGGGAACUGUGCAGGAAGCAGGUGACACAGAGGUAAACUGACUUUUGCUCCGCCUGCACUGCCCAGAGAGGCAGGGCCCAAUCAGCACAGUUGCACACCAGCCUGCCUCACCAAGUGGAAAAGAUGAAGCCAGUAUGGUGGAAUGUCAGGCAGCAGCCAGUUGGUAAAGACUUCAUUCCAAAGAGAGGGCUUUUUGUAAGCCUCUGGAAUUGCAGGGCCUAGGGGCUGGUGGCAUGUUGACUCCUCCUCUGGCCACACUGAGUAGCAAUUGAGCCCCAAUGUCCAGGGACCGUUCACAAAGGGCUCUAUACACACACACACUCAGGCAGGCCCAGCUUUCCCUCUGACCAGAUCUCAGGACCUUUGUUUAAACCCUCCUAGCGGUGGGGGAACUGCAACCUACAACCAACACCCCCUCCCAUGCCCCAGUGUGGACCAUUUACCAUCUUCUGGAACACCAUUCCAACCAAACCUCUCCCAUUCCUCUGGGCCGUGUUCUGCUCAUACCUCCUCCAGGAAGCCCUGACCACCCUUUAAAUAACAUUCAAAUUCUUCUCCACCGUUGCCACCUGAGAGAGAAUGUCCCUAGCCACCCAGAGUAGCCCCUCUAGUUGCUCUCCAUCUUCACAGGGUUCAUUUUUUUUCAUGCUACCUUUACGGAUCUGAAAUUAGCUCACUGAUUUCUUUGUUUUCUGUUUUCUUGUUUUAUCCCCUCAAUUAAAAUGCAAGCUCCUUGAGGGCAGGGACAUGGCUGUCCUGUUUACUACUAUAACCCUAGUUUCUAAGCACCCAUCCCACCCCACUGCUAGCUAGGGACACACAAGUCCCAAAAGGGUAAAGAAUUCACCCAAGGUAACGCAGCAAGCUAGCAGGUGGCAGAGGUCAGCCUAGCAUUGCAGUGUAGACACUUGGCCUGUCCCUGUACUCUCUCAUUUACCCUUUGGUGGUCUGUCUUGCCCUUGCUUCCUCAUUACAUUGGGCCAGAGUCUGCAGUUCUUUGCCAGCAGUGUCCCUCCACUUCCCUAGGGGUCCACAGUGCCCCAAUCUGGGCACUGUGAUCCUUACUGCCCAUUUCACUGCCCUGUCUGCUUCCCCUCAGUCCCUCCCUUCCUGGCAUCAGUAGCUCUGAUGAGCUCAUGUCUGGAAGCCUAGGAGCUGCCCUGAAGGAAAAGGUGCCUCCCAGGCCAGGCCCCUGGGCCUGGGAGGUGGGUUCAGCUUUGUGGAAGGAUAGCCCUGGCAGGGGGAGUAAGUGAACUGACCCCAGCCUGGCCUACCAUCUGAAGCUGUAAGGUAGGACCCUAGAGAUGGAACAACUAGGGGUAGAGGGGAGAUAGACAAAAGCCCUACUUCUCCCCUCCUUCCAGAUGUUCCAUGGCCACCUGUGCCCCUCCCACAUAUCAAGGAGUCACUCUUUCCCUGGGAGAGAGGGCUCUGCUGCCUUCUACCCAUAGAACCACCCCGAGCAAACCUCUUUCCCUUGUUGGUCUCAUCAGUCUUCAUAACUCGAAAAUCGGAGAUUAAAUACUGACUGAAGAGGCAAGCCAGGAACCAGGCACCUGAAUGCCACAGGUUUGGGGGUUUUUUUUGUUUUGUUUUGUUUUGUUUUUUCACCUCAGUGGAAGAGUAUAGAAGGGCAAGGACUGAGAAGGAAGGGAAAGAGUUAAAGGCCUUCUCUUAACCAUGUAAACGCAGAUCCAAUCACACUUUAAUGUAAAUGCUAAACUAAGAGGGGAGUUGGAGGGCUGGCCUAUGACUUGUGAAGUGGGACAGGUCUGAAAAGUGGGGUCUGUAAGACGGUAAGCACAGGAGUUCUUCAAAUAUUAAACUUGAAUGAUCCUAGUCCAUCUUCUCAUGCAAAUAGAGAAACUGAGGAACAGAGAAAGAGAGGAACCAGCCCAAGAUUUCAUGUGGAGACCAAGACAGGGGAUGCCCCUACCAAGCAAGCAGGGCAUUUUCAGUCCUGUGAGGGAGAUCUCAUCGUACCACCGGAGGCAAUAUGGUAAGUGGCAGGGGGUUUCAGUUUGUGGAUCUGCUCCCCAACAUGGGCUGGGGUCCAGUCCUGAGGUCAGUGACAGGACAGGCCACUGCCAGUAGGAUUCCAGUCUCUUGUCCCACUGUACCCCUGGCCCUUUGAUUAGCAUCCUUAUCCCACCCUCCAGUUUCCAAAGCAACAGGAGUUGCACCCUCUGACUGUCCUUAGGACCACCACCAGCACUGCUGCCUCCAGGGUGUUACCCAUUCAGGGCCCACCCUGCCAUCCUCUCACAGGGCAGCCAAAGAGCAGGGCGCUUGUGCCAAGAUCACUCAGCAAGGUGCUACCUGCCACUCAGAUUAGGGUGGGAAUGGGGAGCCCGACACAUACUGCUUUCCCACUCAGCUCUUGUUCUUUCUAGAAAACCCAGACACAGAGCACAGGGGUCCCUGCUCCCAUCCAGAAUAAGCCCAUAACUUGGGGUGGUAUUGGGGGAGGAAGGGAGACCUUUCCCCAGAUUCUUGCCAGGGCCCUGGAUAGAGUCCCCCACCCCCACUCAGCAGUGUAGUGGUUGGAAAUGAGCCCCACCCUCCACUCCACUUUGAGCCCGUUUUGGGAGCAAAAGGUUCAAUAGUUGGGGUGUUGUGAGCAUUUGAUACAGAAAACUUAGGAGUUUCCCUCUCCCCUAAGGCACUCAGGAAAGGCCUUGAUUUCCCCACUGGUGCUUGGGCCUGGUGAUCCCAGCGGUGUGGUGGUUUGGAUACCUGAGCACUGGCCCUUGCAGCCAGACCCUGGUGUCCCGUCGCCCCACCCGCGGGAGGUGGGGACACAGGCCCAGCACAGGCUGUUCUGCUUCCCCCACAGGCGCCCAUGUGGGUCCACCCGGACAGAGCCCCACCCGCCGGUUCUUGAAUCAAGCCAGCCAGACAUUCCCAGAGCCGCCUGGUGGGCGCAGACCCCAGGCUGUUGCCCAUCCUUGGGCCUCGGGACAGCCUCGCCUCCGGAUCUGCUUGCGGAGAGAGGCGCGAGGGCUGGAUCGUCAGCCCUCGCGCUAGUCCUGGACACUAGCUUUCCUUGCUCACCGCGUCCUCCCGCUCCAGAGAAGCUGGAGAGUCCCGGGAUCCCACCAGCCUCCGCUGUACAGAUGGGGAAACUGAGGCCCAGGGUGUAGAUGCAUCUUGGCCAAGGUCACCCUGCAUGGGGGAACUGGAGCCCAGAUGUGCCACUCUUCCAGGGUGGUGCCAGCAACUGCGCAGAUCAAAAAGAAAGAAAGAAAACACAAAACUCACCAGGGGAACUUGCCAGGGCUUGGCUAGUCCAGACCCACAACCCUGCCUCCUGACCCCCAGCUGUGGCCUGUGUGAAGGGAGACAACAGAUGUCUGGGGCCUCUGGCUCUGUGGCACCUAUGUUUGGACUGACUCUGAGGUGAAGGCUCCUCAUUGCUGCUGCCCAGCUCCCUGUGUGACCCAAGCCUGGGAGGGAACUGAGUCCACAGGGGUGAUCAGGGCCUGGAGAGAAUUCUUUAAGGAGCAGAGUGGGAGGGAAGGCUGGUAAGAUGCCAGCAGGGGUGUCAGUGACGCCUGCAGAGAAAUGAAGUGUUCCUUCAGUUUCCUGACGCACAAGCCCUCCCAGAACUGUCCCCCGCACGCCUUGCUGGCAGCAGCUCCUGCCUGCACCAAGCAUGGCCCGACUCACGUCCUCCCCAUCUGGACCCACUUCAGCGUUUCCAUGGGCCUGUGCGGAGGUGAUUCAGUGUGGGUUUCCCUGCCCCGCCCUGCUCUGCAGACUCACGCGCCUGCAGGGAAAAUGAUCCUCCAUCCUUCCUUCCUACCAUGCCAUGCCGCACACGGAGUUCUCCCCACACGCUGUCAUUGGAUCCCACUGCAGCCCAGGCCCUCCUCACUGCUGCUCUCUUCAGCCUCCAGAGCCAGACACCUGUAGUUGCCAUCAGGGAUCUGGAAGGUGCAGGGGGCAGACCUCCCUUCGCUGGGCCCGAGGGUUGGUUGUGGAAAAUGAGGACCCAGCAUGAUGCUUCUGUACUUGGAGAUUCUGAGGAAUGGCACCUGGCCUACUGUGUGACCUGCAAAUACUGCUCUCUAUUCCUCUCGAGGAUCUUCUCUGGUUCUCUGCAGAUCCACCUUCCUCUGCUGAUUCACAGAGUUGGAGUGAGGUUUGACUGAGUGUAAGAUAAGUCCUUCCUGUGCUGGGUGAAGUGGUGGGCCCUCAACACCUCCUUCGUAACCCUUCUUGACCUCUGGUGUAUGAGGCCCCUUCAGGACAAUCUCUCUGUACAGGGAGAAAAGAAACAUCUCACAAGACAGCUCAUUGAGUGUUCUGGACUGAAUUUCUGAGGCCUGUCCAUCCUUGGGUGGUCCUGAAAACUAGCUGAGAUUUGAGGUAAUUUUCAUGCUUCCACAGGGAAGUGUUUCCCAGGCUUCAACCAUUCAACAUCCUAGACUUGCACCAUAUCCUUAUGUUACCUGACACUCAUUUGCUUAAUAUUUUCU